Molecule: ribosomal RNA, 851 nt
Filed under: Psathyrella sp.
Lineage: Eukaryota; Fungi; Basidiomycota; Agaricomycetes; Agaricales; Psathyrellaceae
Description: LSU rRNA
Rfam family: Eukaryotic large subunit ribosomal RNA
Source: RNAcentral
AACUGCGAGUGAAGCGGGAAAAGCUCAAAUUUAAAAUCUGGUGGUCUCUGAUCAUCCGAGUUGUAAUCUAGAGAAGUGUUACCCGCGUCGGACCGUGUAUAAGUCUCCUGGAAUGGAGCGUCAUAGAGGGUGAGAAUCCCGUCUUUGACACGGACUACCGAGGCUUUGUGGUAUGCUCUCAAAGAGUCGAGUUGUUUGGGAAUGCAGCUCAAAAUGGGUGGUAAAUUCCAUCUAAAGCUAAAUAUUGGCGAGAGACCGAUAGCGAACAAGUACCGUGAGGGAAAGAUGAAAAGAACUUUGGAAAGAGAGUUAAACAGUACGUGAAAUUGCUGAAAGGGAAACGCUUGAAGUCAGUCGCGUUGGCCGGGAAUCAGCCUUGCUUUUGCUUGGUGUACUUUCUGGUUGACGGGCCAGCAUCAGUUUUGACCGGUGGAAAAAGUUCAGGGGAAUGUGGCAUCUUCGGGUGUGUUAUAGCCCUUGUUCGUAUACAUCGGUUGGGACUGAGGAACUCAGCACGCCGCAAGGCCGGGUCUUUGACCACGUUCGUGCUUAGGAUGCUGGCAUAAUGGCUUUAAUCGACCCGUCUUGAAACACGGACCAAGGAGUCUAACAUGCCUGCGAGUGUUUGGGUGGAAAACCCGAGCGCGUAAUGAAAGUGAAAGUUGAGAUCCCUGUCAUGGGGAGCAUCGACGCCCGGACCUGACGUUUUCUGACGGCCCUGCGGUAGAGCAUGUAUGUUGGGACCCGAAAGAUGGUGAACUAUGCCUGAAUAGGGUGAAGCCAGAGGAAACUCUGGUGGAGGCUCGUAGCGAUUCUGACGUGCAAAUCGAUCGUCAAAUUUGGGUAUAGGG